AUAACAAUCGACCCUCUUCUCAAAAUAAACAAUUGAAACCCUAUUCCCCCAAAUUUCCAAAUCCACAUUCCCUAUUUCCUUGAAACCGUUCCAUUGCUCCCCUGCUUCACCCCCUUUCGUUGUUGACAAGCAAGAGGAUGCACCAGCUUCACCAUGUUCCCAGUUCCUUCACCGCUUCACAACUUCGUCGAGUCUUCAUGGCUUCAAAGCUUCCUCAGUUCCUCAUCACUACCCUCGGAUCCCUUCCUUCGUUUUCCAUUCGAUGUCCUCGAGCUCCAUCUUUGUUCGCCGUUCUAGCUUUGUUUCUGCUCGCCAAAAAAUUUCCAUUUGCACUGGGUUUUCUUCCUCAGGUAAUAACACUUCUGGACCUUGACUUUGUUCGUUGUUACUUGACUUGUUAGUUGCUGUUGUUUGGCACGCCGUUUAGGUUUAAGGCCCUUUCUUCUCUCUGUUCAUUACAAAGUCUGGAAUGUUGGGGUUGUGCUGUUUUGCUUCUGGAAGAGAGACUCGUGGUGCUGUUAUCCUAUUUUUUCUUGUGGAUGUUUUGCUGGUCUUGUUAGGGCCUCUUAAUGAUUAAUGAGAUUCUGGAAUGUUUUUUUUGGCUUUUGAGGCUGUGUUGCUUGCUGGUGUUUAUAUGUUUGCAAGGGCUCUUAAUCUUACUAGUCCCUUGGGUCUGUGGGUUUUUUUUUUAAAGGGAUGGUGUUUUGCUUGGUUUGAUUGGAAGGGCUCUGUUGCCUCAUUUUUGUAGGUAGCGAUAGGAAGCAAAGAGCUCCUCUUUUCUUUGCAUUGCUAGGCUCUGGACCUCUGGUAGUUCUCUUAGUUUUUGUUCUGUUUGAUUAUCAGCUUAUUGAUUAUUUACUGGUUUAGAAUUAGAGCAGCACAUUUCAACAAAGGUCCCUCAUGGUGUAAGACAAGGAAUUAAAGCAUGAAUUGAAGUCAGCGAUAUAUGUUGACGACUUUUGAUCUCACGUUCUUUUUAAAUCUCUUCAAGUAUGAGUGGCCUCUUUUUUGGUUUUUAUGACACAGGGUUACUACUUGAAUAACAUUAUGCUUCAACAAGUGACUCUUUUGAUUCAGGAGGUAUGUGAAGGGAAGGGUUGGGUAUUUCUAAGAGAACCUUAAGAAGUAAAGGCUUGGUAAAACAAAUUUUUGUUACCUUGAUGCUCACCAGAAUGUAAAAUGGCUUUUGUGGAAGUCUGAUGGUAUUUUGUUUGGUCAUUUCUAGGAUUUCUGCAAAGGCAGUUGCGUGGAAAUUGGUAAUAUAACUUACAGAAGGAGAACCAUACUUCUUUACAUUUGGAAAAUCAGAGUUUGUAUCUUCAUCUGAUUAGGGGGACUCACUCCUUGGAAAGGCUUAUAUGAGCAAAUUGGCAUGACAGACUGGCUAAUUUUCAGGUUUUUAGUGCUCUUGUCGUUGAAAAGCUUCUUUCUGUUCCUACCAUGCCCAUGUACCGGUGUAUAGAACAUUUGAGCCAAAGUCUAUGAGGUCUCAUCACCAAUUUCUGUAUCUUUUCUUUUGAUUAUAUCGAUGUUGAUUCUCACCUCUUCAUCAUCCUCUCAAGCAUUCAAAAUUAAUUGUUGGAGGCAAAGAUGGCUAGGUGGUGAAGCUUUCAGAAGAAUACAGGCUUUGGGCGCAAAAAAUACUGUUUCAAGUCAAUGACACUCUCUGUGAGUCCAAUUAAAGUCUCCUGUAGAAAUGUCUUUUUACUUUUAUGAACCUUGUGCAUUUCAGUUUUUCUUUUGAUCUACUCCAUGUCAGAAUCAUAUGUAACAAUUACAAGUAGUCUUGUUUACAAUAAAAAUUCAUCUUUGAUUGUUUUACCA
RNA transcript from Lotus japonicus, 1824 nucleotides. RefSeq lists it as uncharacterized. The record is from RefSeq and is a predicted model, not a curated record. The transcript is spliced from 4 exons. NCBI's taxonomy places the organism in Eukaryota, Viridiplantae, Streptophyta, Magnoliopsida, Fabales, Fabaceae.